UAAAUUCAUUUUAAAGUAUAAAUUCCUGAAACUGAGUCAGAUUGACAGUGGUUUUAGAUCCCUGACACAUUAAAUUGGUCUGGAGGGCCAAAAAAGUUGAUGUCCUCAGAGAUUGCCCUUAGAAGACUUUAAGUAUGGCCAUCUUACUGUAUUUUCUAAUUAUUGUUUUGUUGUUUGAUGUGGCCAAAGAAUUCUUCACCAAGUGGCCAGCACUGAUGAUGAGCUUAUCUCUAGUGUCCUUGGAAAGCAGACCUAGUAAGUUUCCAGGGCCAUGCUCGAAGCAUGGAAGAAGCUGCCAGAGCUUCUUUGGCAUCCGUUUUCUGCUUUUGAGAAUCCACAAUCAUCUUUGCAUCCCAACUGAAGAGUCAGAGUAAGACUUGACGGAUACAGCUGCUGAAGAAUUAAAGUGGCUGUUUACAGGAUUCGGAGAGGUGCAUGGUGGAUGUUGGGACUUUCACUGUUUGCGAUGGUGUGUGAAUAAGACUUAGGGUGAAUGCUGCUGUCUUUGGUAGAGAUGAUGGAAGACAAAUAAGUUGUUCCAUACCUAAUGUUAAAGCACAGAGUACCAUGUUGGAGCUGUAUAUCUGCAAAGCGUCUUGUCCUUCCAUUCAUCACAGAAGUCAUCUGGGACACGGUAACAUUGACACCGUUCUCUAAAAUCCGCCUCCCUCCUGUGUUACCUAUGAGAGCCAAGUCUUCCUCCAGAGAUCCAAGUUUAAUGAAGUAGUGAGUAUCCCGUCCGUCAAUGGUGAAGUGCAGGUUUUCCAGGUAAUGAGCACCAUUGAGGAUGGCGGCAAGUCGGCGGCUGUCUU
Long non-coding RNA from Trichosurus vulpecula (common brushtail), 812 nucleotides. RefSeq lists it as uncharacterized. Lineage: Eukaryota; Metazoa; Chordata; Mammalia; Diprotodontia; Phalangeridae. The transcript has 3 exons. The record is from RefSeq and is a predicted model, not a curated record.